RNAcentral lists this ribosomal RNA (468 nucleotides) under uncultured bacterium. RNAcentral describes it as "partial 16S ribosomal RNA". It matches the Rfam family "Bacterial small subunit ribosomal RNA", at positions 28 to 507 of the family's 1533-position model. The record is from RNAcentral.
GACGAACGCUGGCGGCGUGCUUAACACAUGCAAGUCGAACGGAAAGGCCCUGCUUUUGUGGGGUGCUCGAGUGGCGAACGGGUGAGUAACACGAGAGUAACCUGCCCUUGACUUUGGGAUAACUUCAGGAAACUGGGGCUAAUACCGGAUAGGAGCUCCUGCUGCAUGGUGGGGGUUGGAAAGUUUCGGCGGUUGGGGAUGGACUCGCGGCUUAUCAGCUUGUUGGUGGGGUAGUGGCUUACCAAGGCUUUGACGGGUAGCCGGCCUGAGAGGGUGACCGGCCACAUUGGGACUGAGAUACGGCCCAGACUCCUACGGGAGGCAGCAGUGGGGAAUAUUGCACAAUGGGCGGAAGCCUGAUGCAGCAACGCCGCGUGCGGGAUGACGGCCUUCGGGCUGUAAACCGCUUUCGCCUGUGACGAAGCGUGAGUGACGGUAAUGGGUAAAGAAGCACCGGCUAACUACGUG